GGUUCCGUAGCUCAGCUUGGCUAGAGCGCCGCUCUGAUAAGGCGGAGGUCCAGAGUUCGAAUCUCUGCGGGACCA
Molecule: transfer RNA, 75 nt
Filed under: Candidatus Woesearchaeota archaeon
Lineage: Archaea; Nanobdellati; Candidatus Woesearchaeota
Description: tRNA-Ile
Rfam family: tRNA
About the family: Transfer RNA (tRNA) molecules are approximately 80 nucleotides in length. Their secondary structure includes four short double-helical elements and three loops (D, anti-codon, and T loops).
Source: RNAcentral